UUUCCGUAGGUGAACCUGCGGAGGGAUCAUUACAAGUUGACCCCGGCCCUCGGGCCGGGAUGUUCACAACCCUUUGUUGUCCGACUCUGUUGCCUCCGGGGCGACCCUGCCUCCGGGCGGGGGCCCCGGGUGGACAUUUCAAACUCUUGCGUAACUUUGCAGUCUGAGUAAAUUUAAUUAAUAAAUUAAAACUUUCAACAACGGAUCUCUUGGUUCUGGCAUCGAUGAAGAACGCAGCGAAAUGCGAUAAGUAAUGUGAAUUGCAGAAUUCAGUGAAUCAUCGAAUCUUUGAACGCACAUUGCGCCCCCUGGUAUUCCGGGGGGUAUGCCUGUUCGAGCGUCAUUUCACCACUCAAGCCUCGCUUGGUAUUGGGCGACGCGGUCCGCCGCGCGCCUCAAAUCGACCGGCUGGGUCUUUCGUCCCCUCAGCGUUGUGGAAACUAUUCGCUAAAGGGUGCCGCGGGAGGCCACGCCGUAAAACAACCCCAUUUCUAAGGUUGACCUCGGAUCAGGUAGGGAUACCCGCUGAACUUAAGCAUAUCAAUAAGCGGAGGAAA
Molecule: ribosomal RNA, 557 nt
Filed under: uncultured fungus
Lineage: Eukaryota; Fungi
Description: eukaryotic LSU rRNA
Rfam family: 5.8S ribosomal RNA (bases 190-343)
Source: RNAcentral